Molecule: small nucleolar RNA, 133 nt
Filed under: Dasypus novemcinctus (nine-banded armadillo)
Lineage: Eukaryota; Metazoa; Chordata; Mammalia; Cingulata; Dasypodidae
Description: Small nucleolar RNA SNORA38 (ENSDNOG00000048734.1)
Rfam family: Small nucleolar RNA SNORA38
About the family: ACA38 is a member of the H/ACA class of snoRNA that guide the sites of modification of uridines to pseudouridines.
Source: RNAcentral
CCCUCCUUACAAAGGUGUGUCAGUGGUUUCCUGUCCUUGGACACGUAAGAAUUGGAGGCAAAGAGAUGUGGACUUAGAGAAUUCUGAAGCCAGCUUGUUCCCCACAGGCUCAAGAUCACCCUUUCCCACACAG